RNAcentral lists this transfer RNA (77 nucleotides) under Methanomethylovorans hollandica DSM 15978. RNAcentral describes it as "tRNA-Pro". Lineage: Archaea; Methanobacteriati; Methanobacteriota; Methanomicrobia; Methanosarcinales; Methanosarcinaceae. The record is from RNAcentral.
GGGACCGUAGGGUAGCCUGGACCAUCCUUCGGCGUUCGGGACACGCCGGAACCUGAGUUCAAAUCUCAGCGGUCCCA